CGAACGAUGAACCACUUCGGUGGGGAUUAGUGGCGAACGGGUGAGUAACACGUGGGCAAUCUGCCCUUCACUCUGGGACAAGCCCUGGAAACGGGGUCUAAUACCGGAUACGACCUGCCAAGGCAUCUUGGCGGGUGGAAAGCUCCGGCGGUGAAGGAUGAGCCCGCGGCCUAUCAGCUUGUUGGUGAGGUAACGGCUCACCAAGGCGACGACGGGUAGCCGGCCUGAGAGGGCGACCGGCCACACUGGGACUGAGACACGGCCCAGACUCCUACGGGAGGCAGCAGUGGGGAAUAUUGCACAAUGGGCGAAAGCCUGAUGCAGCGACGCCGCGUGAGGGAUGACGGCCUUCGGGUUGUAAACCUCUUUCAGCAGGGAAGAAGCGAAAGUGACGGUACCUGCAGAAGAAGCGCCGGCUAACUACGUGCCAGCAGCCGCGGUAAUACGUAGGGCGCAAGCGUUGUCCGGAAUUAUUGGGCGUAAAGAGCUCGUAGGCGGCUUGUCGCGUCGGUUGUGAAAGCCCGGGGCUUAACCCCGGGUCUGCAGUCGAUACGGGCAGGCUAGAGUUCGGUAGGGGAGAUCGGAAUUCCUGGUGUAGCGGUGAAAUGCGCAGAUAUCAGGAGGAACACCGGUGGCGAAGGCGGAUCUCUGGGCCGAUACUGACGCUGAGGAGCGAAAGCGUGGGGAGCGAACAGGAUUAGAUACCCUGGUAGUCCACGCCGUAAACGGUGGGCACUAGGUGUGGGCAACAUUCCACGUUGUCCGUGCCGCAGCUAACGCAUUAAGUGCCCCGCCUGGGGAGUAC
Molecule: ribosomal RNA, 805 nt
Filed under: Streptomyces sp.
Lineage: Bacteria; Bacillati; Actinomycetota; Actinomycetes; Kitasatosporales; Streptomycetaceae
Description: bacterial SSU rRNA
Rfam family: Bacterial small subunit ribosomal RNA
Source: RNAcentral